Molecule: long non-coding RNA, 1418 nt
Filed under: Capra hircus (goat)
Lineage: Eukaryota; Metazoa; Chordata; Mammalia; Artiodactyla; Bovidae
Description: lncRNA (ENSCHIG00010011746.1)
Source: RNAcentral
CAGCAAGUAUUUAUUGAGACUCUUGUUUUGUGCUUGAGACUGUAUCAAGUGUUGUGGAUUCCUCUUUGAAAAGGGGGACUUCCCUGGCGGUCCAGGGGCACAGGUUCAAUCCCUGGUGGUGCAGGAACACAGGUUCAAUCCCUGGUGGCGGAAUUAAGAUUCCACAUGCCACAAAACCAAAAAAAAACAAAACAAAAAAAUACAGGAAGUAAAUAGUCCACCCUCAGGAGCCAUACAGUUCAUCUGGAAGAUAGAAAUGAACUGCAUGGCACAAGUUGCUGGCAGAUGAUGCACCACAGGAGAAGUGAGUGACAAAGGAAGGUAACUCUGGGGGCCAAAGCCAACUCUGGGGAGUUUUCUGCCUGAAAAUUCGCCCUCAGAAAUCAGAAGCUCAAAACUGUACUUGUUAUUCCUGCCUCUCAUCUUUCUGCACUUCCGCACUGAUUCCUCCAAGAAGCCAGCUGGCUGGCUGACCGAGUGUCUGCAUGUUGCUCCCAAAACAAUAGGAAUAAAGGCAAACCAGAAGAAGGGGAGAUAAUAGUUUAUAAUUUCAAGGCCAUGUUUAAGCAAGCCAAAAAACAAGCAAGUCCAAUGAGGAAAUGCCCUUCAACAGCUGACAUCCCCCCAACAAAUUUAUUGAAAAUACCCAACUUCUGGAGGAAAAUAUAGGCAAAUUAAAAUACUCUAAUAAUGACCCACUGGCCAAGGGUUCAUUGAUUCAAAUUGAGUAAAUACUACCUUUGCACGUCUAUUCCUGUGGCUAUUGUUUGGCUGACAUGCUUCUUUAGAACUUAAGCUUGCCCAGCCCUUGAAAGGAAUGAAGAAGGGGCAUAUAUCUCAAGCACAACAUCUCUGAUGUCUUUGUCAAUUUCCUAUGUGAAGCCUGAAUUAUGAUACAAUAUGUCUUGAGCCACAGAUAAAAACUUUCCAAAUCAGAAAAAGAGCCUUCUAACAAUUGCCACUAGAGAUGAUUAUUCCCUAAUCAACACUGAAGGAAAUGAGAACUGCCCCUCUGUAUUAUUCCCAGAUAUCUUCUGGAAGUGUUGAGAAGAAUAUUUAAGUGAAUGAUUCUUAGCCAAAAGGAAAAAAAAAAAAAGGACACAAAAAUGAGUGAUUAAUUCCUCUUAAGUUCUAAUUAGGAGCAUGAAUUAUCUGAUCCCUUAAAUUGACGGUUUGCAGGCAAUAACUUGUAAUAUUAAUACAGGCUUUAAAAACUGGGUAGGUUGUGAUUCUAAAGUUAAGAGAGAUAGAUUUAGUUCUAGCCAAUCUUUGCUUUCUCCUGACACUGAAAUAUAAGAACUGCAUGAUUUUAAUUACACUCUGAAAACUGAAAUAAAUAAGUGACUCCCUAUUCUGGUAAAGGUCUGCCGGCUCUGUAACUUGCUAGCUGUAGGACUUUGGGCAAGUAACUUAAUAUG